This 1346-nucleotide ribosomal RNA is filed under the name Tsukamurella pseudospumae. RNAcentral describes it as "bacterial LSU rRNA". It matches the Rfam family "Bacterial large subunit ribosomal RNA", at positions 379 to 1624 of the family's 2925-position model. Lineage: Bacteria; Bacillati; Actinomycetota; Actinomycetes; Mycobacteriales; Tsukamurellaceae. The record is from RNAcentral.
CCGAAAACACGGUGCCUGUUGUGAUGGAUACCCGAGUAGCAGCGAGCCCGUGAAAUUCGCUGUGAAUCUGCCGAGACCACUCGGUAAGCCUAAAUACUACCUUGCGACCGAUAGCGGACAAGUACCGUGAGGGAAAGGUGAAAAGUACCCCGGGAGGGGAGUGAAAUAGUACCUGAAACCGUGUGCUUACAAUCCGUCAGAGCCCUCGUUGUGGGGUGAUGGCGUGCCUUUUGAAGAAUGAGCCUGCGAGUCAGUGCUCGGUGGCGAGGUUAACCCGUUGUGGGGUAGCCGUAGCGAAAGCGAGUCCGAAUAGGGCGUUUGAGUCGCCGGGUCUGGACCCGAAGCGGAGUGAUCUACCCAUGGCCAGGGUGAAGCAGCAGUAAGAUGUUGUGGAGGCCCGAACCCACUUAGGUUGAAAACUGAGGGGAUGAGCUGUGGGUAGGGGUGAAAGGCCAAUCAAACUCCGUGAUAGCUGGUUCUCCCCGAAAUGCAUUUAGGUGCAGCGUCACGUGUUUCUUGCCGGAGGUAGAGCUACUGGAUGGCCGAUGGGCCCUCACAGGUUACUGACGUCAGCCAAACUCCGAAUGCCGGUAAGUGAGAACGUGGCAGUGAGACUGCGGGGGAUAAGCUUCGUAGUCGAGAGGGAAACAGCCCAGAUCGCCGGCUAAGGCCCCUAAGCGUGUACUAAGUGGAAAAGGAUGUCCGGUCGCGAAGACAACCAGGAGGUUGGCUUAGAAGCAGCCACCCUUGAAAGAGUGCGUAAUAGCUCACUGGUCUAGUGGCUGGGCGCCGACAAUUUAGCGGGGCUCAAGUACACCGCCGAAGCCGCGGCACUCACAUCUUUGGUGUGGGUGGGUAGGGGAGCGUCGUGCAGCCGUAGAAGCAGCAGGGUGACCUAGUUGUGGAGGCUGUGCGAGUGAGAAUGCAGGCAUGAGUAGCGAAUGACACGUGAGAAACGUGUCCUCCGGAUGACCAAGGGUUCCUGGGCUAGGUUAAUCCUCCCAGGGUGAGUCGGGACCUAAGGCGAGGCCGACAGGCGUAGUCGAUGGACAACGGGUUGAUAUUCCCGUACCCGUGUCAGAUCGCCCCUGAUGAAUCAGUUGUACUAACCGUCCUGAAGCUUACGGAUCACCUUCGGGUGACAGUUGAGUGGAUGCACGGGACCUCGGCUGGUAGUAGUCAAGCGAUGGGGUGACGCAGGAAGGUAGUGGGGCCAGUCAGUGGUUGUACUGGUGUAAGCCUGUAGGGCGAGAUCUAGGCAAAUCCGGAUCUCACAUAGCCUGAGAGGUGAUGCGUAGCCGUUGCGGUGAAUUCCAUGAUCCUAUGCUGCCGAGAAAAGCCUCUAG